This is a long non-coding RNA of Bombus pascuorum, 1351 nucleotides long. RefSeq lists it as uncharacterized. NCBI's taxonomy places the organism in Eukaryota, Metazoa, Arthropoda, Insecta, Hymenoptera, Apidae. The record is from RefSeq and is a predicted model, not a curated record. The transcript is spliced from 2 exons.
CGCACGUGCCACGAUACAUUCGCGUUCCUCGUUCACGAAUCGUUUUCUCCUCGUUGUUCUGGCUAGCACGUUCCUUUUCGCUCUGGCGUUUUGUUCUCCGUCGCAGAUGCUCGCCACUCGCCAGUGCCGACAACCUCCCCCACCCGAGCCGCUCCGCGAGAAUGAUCGAGACAAGCUGACGAACACCGAAGUCUUGUGUGCUUACCAAAACCAUUUUCCUAUUACUGACGUCGAUUACUCAUUUGUAUUCCAUUUUACUAACGUCUUGUAAACAUUCUCAUGAUAUUUUUCAUCUUUUUUUUCAUGUUAUAAGGAAAAGUACUUCCUCAAGCUGUUCCUUUAACGAUUUAGGGGCUUGUGAGUUAGAAAAUUGGUAAAAUAGUCAUUCUGUACAGCGAUUGAUUGUAUUACCACUACACGUAACAAAAUACGCUAUAAGCUCCGGUUGCAAAUAGCGCAGAGGGGAUUCGUAAUUUUUGCGCGAAGGUUAUAUUUUCACUUAUCAAAUAAAGCUGCACGUAGAGUUUUGGUAUACUACCUUGUAUCGUGGGUAGUUUCGAGUUUCUCGUGAACAGGAAACCGUAUCAUUUAGCGUCACCGUCCCACCAGUGAAAAUGCAUUAACUGGCAGUAGCUGCCAACAUUGCGGCAAAGUGAAACCCCUCGUCACGGUGUAGUCACGUUAAAGCGAGCCGCGUUAAAAUAGUGCAACAAUCGCCUGGCUCCGAAUAAGGUGAAACGUUGCUUUCUCGACUCUCUCUAUAGAACAUUUACGUAAGUUACACAGAGAAAAGUAACCAAAUGUAAGCAUGCGUUACAAGAUCCUAUAUACGCAAUUGUUGCGUGUAUCCGUAAAGUACUUCGCGUAACUCUACUUUACCCAAAGAAUUGUAAGCGUAUGUAAAUUCGUGUAUUAAGCUCGGUCUUCUAUCCGUGUUUCUACAGUUUAUACGUAUACUCUACUCUUAAUACAUAUUCAUCUACGCCUUGAAUUCCACUGCUACGUCACAUUUAGCCCGGUUUCGUCGGGCAUCGUUAGGAAUGUCGCGCGAAAAAGAAACUGUUUCUAAAAAAGGAAAGAAAGAGGAAUUAUUCGAACUUCAUUGGCUGUACGAUUGUAACAGAGACACGUAGAAGGUGGACAAUAAGUAGGCCUGUCGCGUCUUACGCAAUGGCAAAAAAAAAGUGUCUAUUACAUCCGCUAGAAGGACGCGUUUCUGUUAGGUUAGGUUAGAUGGACACGUGUGAGAAUUCUACCAGCUAUGUAUAGUAUAUAUAAUAAAUUCCGAUAUUUUGAAACAAUUUGUAACCACAUUGCGAACAAAUUAAAAUAUACUGUUAAUGUUCAUGUC